This 406-nucleotide ribosomal RNA is filed under the name uncultured bacterium. RNAcentral's name for it is "partial 16S ribosomal RNA". It matches the Rfam family "Bacterial small subunit ribosomal RNA", at positions 29 to 526 of the family's 1533-position model. The record is from RNAcentral.
AUUGAACGCUGGCGGCAGGCCUAACACAUGCAAGUCGAACGAGUGGCGGACGGGUGAGUAAUGUCUGGGAAACUGCCCGCUGGAGGGGGAUAACUACUGGAAACGGUAGCUAAUACCGCAUACCAUCGGAUGUGCCCAGAUGGGAUUAGCUAGUAGGUGGGGUAACGGCUCACCUAGGCGACGAUCCCUAGCGGGUCUGAGAGGAUGACCAGCCAGACUGGACAUGAGAAGCGGUCGAGACGGCUACGGGCGGCAGGAGUGGGGAAUAUUGCACAAUGGGCGCAAGCCUGAGGCAGCCAUGCCGCGUGUAUGAAGAAGGCCUUCGGGGUGUAAAGGACGUUCAGCGAGGAGGCGUUACUCGCAGAAGAAGCAUCGGCUAACUCCGGGCCAGCAGCCGCGGUAAUUC